GAUGAACGCUGACAGAAUGCUUAACACAUGCAAGUCUACUUGAUCCUUCGGGUGAUGGUGGCGGACGGGUGAGUAACGCGUAAAGAACUUGCCUUGCAGUCUGGGACAACGUCUGGAAACGGACGCUAAUACCGGAUAUUAUGAUUGAAUCGCAUGAUUUGAUUAUGAAAGCUAUAUGCGCUGCGAGAGAGCUUUGCGUCCCAUUAGUUAGUUGGUGAGGUAACGGCUCACCAAGACGAUGAUGGGUAGCCGGCCUGAGAGGGUGAACGGCCACAAGGGGACUGAGACACGGCCCUUACUCCUACGGGAGGCAGCAGUGGGGAAUAUUGGACAAUGGACCAAAAGUCUGAUCCAGCAAUUCUGUGUGCACGAUGAAGUUUUUCGGAAUGUAAAGUGCUUUCAGUUGGGAAGAAGAAAGUGACGGUACCAACAGAAGAAGCGACGGCUAAAUACGUGCCAGCAGCCGCCGUAA
RNAcentral lists this ribosomal RNA (472 nucleotides) under uncultured bacterium. RNAcentral describes it as "partial 16S ribosomal RNA". It matches the Rfam family "Bacterial small subunit ribosomal RNA", at positions 28 to 523 of the family's 1533-position model. The record is from RNAcentral.